This 21-nucleotide non-coding RNA is filed under the name Caenorhabditis elegans. Lineage: Eukaryota; Metazoa; Nematoda; Chromadorea; Rhabditida; Rhabditidae. The record is from RNAcentral.
UAUAUUGGAAAACAUGAGGAU